GGAAGCGCAGCCCGAAGGGGCCCGCGCGCCCGGCAGUCCAGACAAAGCUGCGACCGCAGAGCGGCGCUUUUCCUGUCCGGCCCACGGGGGACAGCGAGCUCGGACCCGCCACACGCGGGGCCAGCCCUUCUGUUCGCGGAGCCGUGGGGUGCGGGCCGCCGCGUCAUCCCACCGCUGCGCGCUCGCCUCAGGCCCCCGCGGGCCUCUCCUCAGCCGGCCCGGCCGUCGGGCCGCACGAAACAAAGGAGCCGCCGCCGCCGCGCCCGCCGCCCCGCGUCCCUUCGCCCCGCGCGACCGGCCCGCUCCCCGCAGCCUCCCCCGGGGCCGCGCGCCACCCGCCCGCGGCCCUUCGACGGCAAGGCCCGGGCCAGAGCCGGGACCUCGGGUGCGCGGCCGGCCAGCCCCGGGGCCGCACUCACCGCUGCAGCACCAGGACGACGGGGAGCCGUUGGGGAACUUGGCUGAGUCCGGGGCGAUGCAGACGCUGGAGCUGAGGUGCGGACACUCCAUGGCCACGAGGACGGCGGCGGGGACGGCCGAGGCUGUGGGGCGGAGGGACUUCGGAGGCUCCGUCUGGGGUCGCUCCUAGCCCGGCGCUGGGCAGACGGCGGCUGCUUCGUCCCGAGCCUUUGCGUCAAAGAAAGCAAGGGCUUCCGGGCGCCGGGUUUUGCCACACGCCGUCUCCCGGCGCCCCGCUCCGGAGAACGUGGAAAUCUGGACUCCUGGUUCUGCCGCCGCCCGGAGACAGUAAGCUUCCGCCUUCUCUAGCUGGCCCCGCCCACCCUACUGGUUACGCCCCCAGAUAUGGCCCCGCCCCCGCGCUAGGCGGCGGGCGGGGGGCGGGGCCUUGGCUCUUACGUUCCGCUGGAGUAGAGUCCCACCCGGCUGUUGUGAAGUGACUUUCUCAACUCAGACCGCCCCGAGCAGCGGCCGCCGCAGCUUCUUGGGACCCCAGCAAACGUGGGUACUCAGUCUGGGCAGACCGGUCGGGACUGCUGCGUCUACUGCAGUGAAUCUGACUACUACAGCGAGGCUUGGAAAGAGAGUAUGUGGCCACAUUGCAAAGUGUGCGGAAAAUGAAAAACAGUCGUACGGACGGACAAGCAUUGAAGCCGCAUUUUACACAGGAAGAAACAGGCUAGGGGACUUUGUGGGAGUGGCCCUCGGUGGCCCAGCCGGCUGCAGGGGCCCCAGAACAGUCCUGACUUUUCAUGGUCUCCCUGUAGCGGGUGCGGUCCGGAACCAUUCUGAGUUCUGAACUCUGGCCUGAGCGCGUCACCUGGAUGCUGCAUGGCUGGGCCCCGCAGGACAGCCGGGGUACCUGGGUCAGGUGAAGGCUGCUUCCUUGGGAAGAGAGAGAAGAGUAAACAAUAUCUGACCCCUA
Peromyscus eremicus (cactus mouse) is the source of this 1384-nucleotide long non-coding RNA. RefSeq lists it as uncharacterized. NCBI's taxonomy places the organism in Eukaryota, Metazoa, Chordata, Mammalia, Rodentia, Cricetidae. The record is from RefSeq and is a predicted model, not a curated record. The transcript has 2 exons.